Molecule: non-coding RNA, 137 nt
Filed under: Chloroflexota bacterium
Lineage: Bacteria; Bacillati; Chloroflexota
Source: RNAcentral
GCAACAAUCUAGGGCUGGGGUACCUCGUGCCAUGUGCGCGAGGCCUAAAAGGGGAAGCCGGUGCAAAUCCGGCGCUGUCCCGCAACUGUGACUCCACCAGGAGAAGUCAGGUCGCCUGCCCAGUCCUUCAUUCCGGA